This 331-nucleotide unclassified non-coding RNA is filed under the name soil metagenome. RNAcentral's name for it is "partial contains 5.8S ribosomal RNA, internal transcribed spacer 2, and large subunit ribosomal RNA". The stretch from base 1 to 120 matches the Rfam family "5.8S ribosomal RNA", at positions 35 to 154 of the family's 154-position model. The record is from RNAcentral.
GAUGAAGAACGUAGCGAAAUGCGAUAAGUAAUGUGAAUUGCAGAAUUCAGUGAAUCAUCGAAUCUUUGAACGCACAUUGCGCCCCCUGGUAUUCCGGGGGGCAUGCCUGUUCGAGCGUCAUUUCACCACUCAAGCCUCGCUUGGUAUUGGGCAACGCGGUCCGCCGCGUGCCUCAAAUCGAACGGCUGGGUCUUCUGUCCCCUAAGCGUUGUGGAAACUAUUCGCUAAAGGGUGUUCGGGAGGCUACGCCGUAAAACAACCCCAUUUCUAAGGUUGACCUCGGAUCAGGUAGGGAUACCCGCUGAACUUAAGCAUAUCAAUAAGCGGAGGA